Molecule: long non-coding RNA, 136 nt
Organism: Thalassophryne amazonica
Lineage: Eukaryota; Metazoa; Chordata; Actinopteri; Batrachoidiformes; Batrachoididae
Exons: 3
Source: RefSeq, a predicted model, not a curated record
UGACUGACACCCAUGUGAAAGAAUUGCUUCGAGUGGCAACAACGGAGUACGAGCCAGAUUUGAGGAGGAUUGUUCAAGGGAAGGAAUGCCAGAAGUCCCACUAAGCAACAUGCAUAGUAAGAGAAAAAUGCUAUUG